Molecule: ribosomal RNA, 485 nt
Filed under: uncultured bacterium
Lineage: Bacteria
Description: partial 16S ribosomal RNA
Rfam family: Bacterial small subunit ribosomal RNA
Source: RNAcentral
AAUGAACGUUGGCGGCGUGGAUUAGGCAUGCAAGUCGUGCGGAAAGGCCCCGCAAGGGGUACUCGAGCGGCGUAAGGGAUAGUAAUGCGUGGAUUACCCACCCUCCGGCCUGGGAUAGCUGCGGGAAACUGCAAUUAAUACCAGAUAACGUCUCCGGACCAAAGGUGUGAUUCCGUCAGAGGAUGGGUCCACGUCCUAUUAGCUAGUUGGUAGGGUAAAGGCCUACCAAGGCUACGAUGGGUAGCGGGUGUGAGAGCACGACCCGCAUCACUGGGACUGAGACACUGCCCAGACACCUACGGGUGGCUGCAGUCGAGAAUCUUCGGCAAUGGGCGAAAGCCUGACCGAGCGACGCCGCGUGCGGGAUGAAGGCCUUCGGGUUGUAAACCGCUGUCAGUGGGGAGGAGAUGUCGGAGGGUUCACCCUCCGGCUUGACCUAUCCGCAGAGGAAGUACGGGCUAAGUUCGUGCCAGCAGCCGCAGUAA